GAUGAAGAACGUAGCGAAAUGCGAUAAGUAAUGUGAAUUGCAGAAUUCAGUGAAUCAUCGAAUCUUUGAACGCACAUUGCGCCCCCUGGUAUUCCGGGGGGCAUGCCUGUCCGAGCGUCAUUACAACCCUCAAGCUCAGCUUGGUAUUGGGCCCCGCCGCUCCGGCGGGCCCUAAAGUCAGUGGCGGUGCCGUCCGGCUCCGAGCGUAGUAAUUCUUCUCGCUCUGGAGGCCCGGUCGUGUGCUCGCCAGCAACCCCCAAUUUUUUUCAGGUUGACCUCGGAUCAGGUAGGGAUACCCGCUGAACUUAAGCAUAUCAAUAAGCGAGGA
This 328-nucleotide unclassified non-coding RNA is filed under the name soil metagenome. Its description in RNAcentral is "partial contains 5.8S ribosomal RNA, internal transcribed spacer 2, and large subunit ribosomal RNA". The stretch from base 1 to 120 matches the Rfam family "5.8S ribosomal RNA", at positions 35 to 154 of the family's 154-position model. The record is from RNAcentral.